This 301-nucleotide ribosomal RNA is filed under the name uncultured bacterium. Its description in RNAcentral is "partial 16S ribosomal RNA". It matches the Rfam family "Bacterial small subunit ribosomal RNA", at positions 509 to 807 of the family's 1533-position model. The record is from RNAcentral.
CAGUCGCCGCGGGAAUACGAAGGGGGCUAGCGUUGCUCGGAAUGACUGGGCGUAAAGGGCGCGUAGGCGGUUUUGACAGUCAGAUGUGAAAUUCCUGGGCUUAACCUGGGGGCUGCAUUUGAGACGUCAAGACUAGAGUGUGAGAGAGGGUUGUGGAAUUCCCAGUGUAGAGGUGGAAUUCGUAGAUAUUCGGAAGAACACCAGUGGCGAAGGCGGCUUACUGGCUCAUACUGGACGCUGAGGUGCGAAAGCGUGGGGAGCAAACAGGAUUAGAUACCCGAGUAGUCCCUGUCUCUUAUAC